Molecule: ribosomal RNA, 516 nt
Filed under: uncultured bacterium
Lineage: Bacteria
Description: bacterial SSU rRNA
Rfam family: Bacterial small subunit ribosomal RNA
Source: RNAcentral
UCAGGACGAACGCUGGCGGCGUGCCUAACACAUGCAAGUCAACGGGGAUUUGUUUCGGCAGAAUCCUAGUGGCGAACGGGUGAGUAACGCGUAGGCAACCUGCCCUCCGGCCGGGGACAACACUCCGAAAGGGGUGCUAAUACCGGAUACGAAGUCUGUGCCGCAUGGUACGGAUUUGAAAGAUGGCCUCUGUUUACAAGCUAUCGCCGGGGGAUGGGCCUGCGUCCGAUUAGCUGGUUGGUGGGGUAACGGCCUACCAAGGCGACGAUCGGUAGCCGGUCUGAGAGGAUGAACGGCCACAUUGGGACUGAGACACGGCCCAGACUCCUACGGGAGGCAGCAGUGGGGAAUCUUCCGCAAUGGGCGCAAGCCUGACGGAGCAACGCCGCCGUGAGUGAGGAAGUUCUUCGGAACGUAAAGCUCUGUUGUUCCUGACGAACCUCCCCUUUAUCAACAACGGAGGGGACUGACGGUAGGGAACGAGGAAGCCACGGCUAACUACGUGCCAGCCGCCGC